Molecule: long non-coding RNA, 1005 nt
Filed under: Cricetulus griseus (Chinese hamster)
Lineage: Eukaryota; Metazoa; Chordata; Mammalia; Rodentia; Cricetidae
Description: lncRNA (ENSCGRG00000026369.1)
Source: RNAcentral
GGAAAGAGUUUUUCCUAAGCUGUGGGGAUUUUCCUUAUCCAGAAUAGACCAAGGGAGAAGCAGCCUUUUUGGUGGAGUACUUCUGCCCCCGUGUGGGCAUCUUGGGGCACUACAACAGAGUGGGACACCAAGACUAAAGGUUUUCAGGUCUCAGGUUCUGUGACUUCCAUGGACCCUGAAAGACAGAUGUCCACCAGGGCUACCAUCACUCGACACUUAAGCCUGGAGUGGGAACGAGAGAGUAUGGGGCUUCUUGCGGAACGUAUCCUUUAAGGAACCAGCCUUAGCUGUGUUUGUGGGCAGAUGAAGCCUUCGCAUCCUGUCCUGCGCAAGGUGGGCUGGACAUGGGCUUUCUCUCUUGAACUACGUAUAUAGAAUGGUCUGAUUUGAGGGAAAUAGAGAUCAGGGGAGGGGGAUUUCUAGAGUGGAGGAACAGUGCCUCCCCAGCCGGUUGUUGGGAUGGAUGUUAGCACCAGGGCCUGCAAGCCCCUCCCAGUGUGCCUCUUGGCCUUCUUUUUUGCACCUGUGGUUGGGCUGCGGUGUAACGGCCCAGCCUACCUCUUCUGGGCACGUGGCCUGGAGAGAUGCUAUCUCUAACUCUGUAUUUUUAACUCUUCUUUCCAGAGGAUGUGGCUUCUGCGGGAGAGCUUCAAAGGGUGCCCUGUUUGCCCCUGUCAGCAACCAUGACGUCACGGAAAUGGGAGGAGGGUACUCAGCCCCAAACACCUGGAGGGAAAUGUACCUGUUGGACAGUCUGCUGUGAUUCUAACAGCGAGUAUAGAGAAGAAGACUCAUUGGCAUUUCUGAUGUAAUCAAAAGAAGCAUCAAGGAGAUCGAUAUGUGUGCAGUGACUGGGAAUGUUGCAAUGAUUGCUGUGCAAACUCCCUCUGGGCACAGUUGGACAAGGAUGAUCCACCUCUGUGUAAAAGAACAACCCAGUGAGACAUCAUCUCCCAAUUUGAGCCAUUUCCUGAUCUUUAUUAGUUUAUCUGCCCUCUUCCUCCA